GAUGAACGCUGGCGGCGUGCCUAAUACAUGCAAGUCGAGCGAACAGAUGAGGAGCUUGCUCCUCUGACGUUAGCGGCGGACGGGUGAGUAACACGUGGAUAACCUACCUAUAAGACUGGGAUAACUUCGGGAAACCGGAGCUAAUACCGGAUAAUAUAUUGAACCGCAUGGUUCAAUAGUGAAAGACGGUUUUGCUGUCACUUAUAGAUGGAUCCGCGCCGCAUUAGCUAGUUGGUAAGGUAACGGCUUACCAAGGCAACGAUGCGUAGCCGACCUGAGAGGGUGAUCGGCCACACUGGAACUGAGACACGGUCCAGACUCCUACGGGAGGCAGCAGUAGGGAAUCUUCCGCAAUGGGCGAAAGCCUGACGGAGCAACGCCGCGUGAGUGAUGAAGGUCUUCGGAUCGUAAAACUCUGUUAUUGGGGAAGAACAAAUGUGUAAGUAACCAUGCACGUCUUGACGGUACCUAAUCAGAAAGCCACGGCUAACUACGUG
RNAcentral lists this ribosomal RNA (497 nucleotides) under uncultured bacterium. Its description in RNAcentral is "partial 16S ribosomal RNA". It matches the Rfam family "Bacterial small subunit ribosomal RNA", at positions 28 to 507 of the family's 1533-position model. The record is from RNAcentral.